Molecule: ribosomal RNA, 844 nt
Filed under: Alternaria alternata
Lineage: Eukaryota; Fungi; Ascomycota; Dothideomycetes; Pleosporales; Pleosporaceae
Description: eukaryotic LSU rRNA
Rfam family: Eukaryotic large subunit ribosomal RNA
Source: RNAcentral
CAGGGAUUGCCCUAGUACGGCGAGUGAAGCGGCAACAGCUCAAAUUUGAAAUCUGGCUCUUUUAGAGUCCGAGUUGUAAUUUGCAGAGGGCGCUUUGGCUUUGGCAGCGGUCCAAGUUCCUUGGAACAGGACGUCACAGAGGGUGAGAAUCCCGUACGUGGUCGCUGGCUAUUGCCGUGUAAAGCCCCUUCGACGAGUCGAGUUGUUUGGGAAUGCAGCUCUAAAUGGGAGGUACAUUUCUUCUAAAGCUAAAUAUUGGCCAGAGACCGAUAGCGCACAAGUAGAGUGAUCGAAAGAUGAAAAGCACUUUGGAAAGAGAGUCAAACAGCACGUGAAAUUGUUGAAAGGGAAGCGCUUGCAGCCAGACUUGCUUACAGUUGCUCAUCCGGGUUUCUACCCGGUGCACUCUUCUGUAGGCAGGCCAGCAUCAGUUUGGGCGGUAGGAUAAAGGUCUCUGUCACGUACCUCCUUUCGGGGAGGCCUUAUAGGGGAGACGACAUACUACCAGCCUGGACUGAGGUCCGCGCAUCUGCUAGGAUGCUGGCGUAAUGGCUGUAAGCGGCCCGUCUUGAAACACGGACCAAGGAGUCUAACAUCUAUGCGAGUGUUUGGGUGUCAAGCCCGAGCGCGUAAUGAAAGUGAACGGAGGUGGGAACCCGCAAGGGUGCACCAUCGACCGAUCCUGAUGUCUUCGGAAGGAUUUGAGUAAGAGCAUGGCUGUUGGGACCCGAAAGAUGGUGAACUAUGCUUGAAUAGGGUGAAGCCAGAGGAAACUCUGGUGGAGGCUCGCAGCGGUUCUGACGUGCAAAUCGAUCGUCAAAUUUGGGCAUAGGGGCGAAAGACU